GGAACUAACAGGGAUUCCCCNAGUACUGCGAGUGAAGCGGGAAAAGCUCAAAUUUGGAAUCUGGYGGUCAUUCUUGGUCCAUCCUAAUUGUGAUCUAGAGAAGUGGAUUCCGUGUUGGCCCGCGUACAAGUCUCCUGGAAGGGAGCGUCAUACACGGUGAUAAUCCCGUCUUUGACACGGACUACCAAUGCUUAUGUGUUAUACUCUCAACGAGUCGAGUUGUUUGGGAAUGCAGCUCAAAUAUGGUGGUAAAUUCCAUCUAAAGCUAAAUAUAGGCGAGAGACCGAUAGCGUACAAGUACCGNGAGGGAAAGACGAAAAGAACUUUGAACAGAGAGUUAAACAGUACGUGAAAUCCUUGAAAGGGAAACNCUGGAUGUCCAGUCACAUUCAUUGGGGAUCAACCUUUGUCAACUUGGUGUAUUUCCUAAYGGAUGGAGUCAGCAUCAGYUUUAAUCUACUGUAAAAGGGUGAAAGAGAAUGUAGCAAAAUCACNUUAUGAUUUUGUGUUAUAGCUUUGUUGUCGGCAUACAGUGAUUAGGACUGAGGGAAA
Molecule: ribosomal RNA, 552 nt
Filed under: uncultured Boletales
Lineage: Eukaryota; Fungi; Basidiomycota; Agaricomycetes; Boletales
Description: eukaryotic LSU rRNA
Rfam family: Eukaryotic large subunit ribosomal RNA
Source: RNAcentral